This 732-nucleotide ribosomal RNA is filed under the name uncultured bacterium. RNAcentral's name for it is "bacterial SSU rRNA". It matches the Rfam family "Bacterial small subunit ribosomal RNA", at positions 771 to 1501 of the family's 1533-position model. The record is from RNAcentral.
AACAGGAUUAGAUACCCUGGUAGUCCACGCCGUAAACGAUGUCUACUAGUCGUUGGGUCCCUUGAGGACUUAGUGACGCAGCUAACGCAAUAAGUAGACCGCCUGGGGAGUACGGCCGCAAGGUUAAAACUCAAAUGAAUUGACGGGGGCCCGCACAAGCGGUGGAGCAUGUGGUUUAAUUCGAUGCAACGCGAAGAACCUUACCUGGUCUUGACAUAUCUAGAAUCCUGCAGAGAUGCGGGAGUGCCUUCGGGAAUUAGAAUACAGGUGCUGCAUGGCUGUCGUCAGCUCGUGUCGUGAGAUGUUGGGUUAAGUCCCGCAACGAGCGCAACCCUUGUCCUUAGUUACCAGCGGUUUGGCCGGGAACUCUAAGGAUACUGCCAGUGACAAACUGGAGGAAGGCGGGGACGACGUCAAGUCAUCAUGGCCCUUACGACCAGGGCUACACACGUGCUACAAUGGUAGGUACAGAGGGCAGCUACACAGCGAUGUGAUGCGAAUCUCAAAAAGCCUAUCGUAGUCCAGAUUGGAGUCUGCAACUCGACUCCAUGAAGUAGGAAUCGCUAGUAAUCGCGGAUCAGAAUGCCGCGGUGAAUACGUUCCCGGGCCUUGUACACACCGCCCGUCACACCAUGGGAGUUGAUUGCACCAGAAGUGGUUAGCCUAACCUUUUAGGAAGGCGAUCACCACGGUGUGGUUGAUGACUGGGGGUGAAGUCGUAACAAGGUAACC